Alosa alosa (allis shad) is the source of this 500-nucleotide long non-coding RNA. RefSeq lists it as uncharacterized. NCBI's taxonomy places the organism in Eukaryota, Metazoa, Chordata, Actinopteri, Clupeiformes, Clupeidae. The record is from RefSeq and is a predicted model, not a curated record. The transcript is spliced from 3 exons.
AGAAAAAGGGACCCUGCCAUCACAAGCUCCAAGACAUUCUUAGAUAGGCUUGAUGCUCAUGAUUCCAACAGAAUAAGCGAACAACAGUCCUGCUUGGCAUGCCCCACUUUCUUCGUCAAGAUACUUCCAGCAUUCUAAAGACCUGUGAGCCAACUGGUCCAGUUGAAGAUGUCUUUAAAAGAAACCAGUGUGGGGAUCCUGAUCGUGUAUGAGGACUGCAGCAAAUGCGUGGUUCUACAAAAUCAAUGACAUAUGUCUUUUGGAGGAACAGUUUAUCGUCAUGGACAUUUCCAAUAUUCCAAAGGCCUUUGAACUCUUUGGACUGAUGGGUCUCAAUAUGGACUACCCGAAGCAUCUAAAAUUCAGGUUUGAAGUACUACAAAAGCUGUUCUUGAACAUUGCAGCUGCUUUCUCCAAAACAGGCUGCUUGGUAAAGAGUAGUACAACAACCUUCCGUAGAACUUGGACUUGGUCCUCAGUUUUGAUGUGCUGUACAUCCA